RNAcentral lists this unclassified non-coding RNA (262 nucleotides) under Hevea brasiliensis (rubber tree). Lineage: Eukaryota; Viridiplantae; Streptophyta; Magnoliopsida; Malpighiales; Euphorbiaceae. The record is from RNAcentral.
GUUUUUUUGCUGGUAUUUUGUGCUCAUUCCCUGUGUUUUUUAUGAACUUUUUGUUUGAUGCAUAUUGAAAGUGAAGAUUGAAAUACUCUCACAUUUCAGCAAAUUGUUUAUUGUUUUAGAAAACAAUACACAUGGAGAGAAAGGAAAUAAAACUGAUACCUCAUCCCAUUUAGGUCAUUUAUUGGUUGUCCUAUUUACUUUUGAAAUGAAAUUUGGCUCAUAUCUAGGAUUCUUCUUAUAUCUCUAUUGACUUUAGUGUGUG